GACGAACGCUGGCGGCGUGCUUAACACAUGCAAGUCGAACGGGGAACGAGGGAGCUUGCUUCCUCCGGGUCAGUGGCGUACGGGUGAGUAACACGUGAGCAAUCUGCCCCGAACUCUGGGAUAAGCGUUGGAAACGACGUCUAAUACCGGAUACGACGCGGGAGGGCAUCCUCUCCGCGUGGAAAGAACUUCGGUUCGGGCUGGGCUCGCGGCCUAUCAGCUUGUUGGUGAGGUAACGGCACACCAAGGCGACGACGGGUAGCCGGCCUGAGAGGGUGACCGGCCACACUGGGACUGAGACACGGCCCAGACUCCUACGGGAGGCAGCAGUGGGGAAUAUUGCACAAUGGGCGCAAGCCUGAUGCAGCAGCGCCGCGUGAGGGACGACGGCCUUCGGGUUGUAAACCUCUUUUAGCAGGGAAGAAGCGAAAGUGACGGUACCUGCAGAAAAAGCACCGGCUAACUACGUG
RNAcentral lists this ribosomal RNA (470 nucleotides) under uncultured bacterium. Its description in RNAcentral is "partial 16S ribosomal RNA". It matches the Rfam family "Bacterial small subunit ribosomal RNA", at positions 28 to 507 of the family's 1533-position model. The record is from RNAcentral.